This 254-nucleotide ribosomal RNA is filed under the name uncultured prokaryote. Its description in RNAcentral is "partial 16S ribosomal RNA". It matches the Rfam family "Bacterial small subunit ribosomal RNA", at positions 524 to 777 of the family's 1533-position model. The record is from RNAcentral.
UACGUAGGAUGCAAGCGUUAUCCGGAUUCAUUGGGUUUAAAGGGUGCGUAGGCGGGCUAUUAAGUCAGUGGUGAAAUCCUGCAGCUUAACUGCAGAACUGCCGUUGAUACUGAUAGUCUUGAGUUUGGUUAAGGUAGGCGGAAUGUGUAAUGUAGCGGUGAAAUGCUUAGAUAUUACACAGAACACCAAUUGCGUAGGCAGCUUACUGAGCCGACACUGACGCUGAGGCACGAAAGCGUGGGGAUCAAACAGGA